This is a non-coding RNA of Mycena leptocephala, 96 nucleotides long. Lineage: Eukaryota; Fungi; Basidiomycota; Agaricomycetes; Agaricales; Mycenaceae. The record is from the annotation of a GenBank genome assembly.
UCGGACGUGGUGUACGGAACACCGCCGGGUAUUGUGGGGAUUCGGAUAACUAAACGCGCAAACUGGCAGUCCGGGGUUCGACUCCCCGCGUCCGAA